Molecule: ribosomal RNA, 468 nt
Filed under: uncultured bacterium
Lineage: Bacteria
Description: partial 16S ribosomal RNA
Rfam family: Bacterial small subunit ribosomal RNA
Source: RNAcentral
GACGAACGCUGGCGGCGUGCUUAACACAUGCAAGUCGAACGGAAAGGCCCUGCUUUUGUGGGGUGCUCGAGUGGCGAACGGGUGAGUAACACGUGAGUAACCUGCCCUUGACUUUGGGAUAACUUCAGGAAACUGGGGCUAAUACCGGAUAGGAGCUCCUGCUGCAUGGUGGGGGUUGGAAAGUUUCGGCGGUUGGGGAUGGGCUCGCGGCUUAUCAGCUUGUUGGUGGGGUAGUGGCUUACCAAGGCUUUGACGGGUAGCCGGCCCGGGCGGGGGACCGGCGGCAUUGGGAGUGAGGUACGGCCCAGAGGGGGACGGGAGGCAGCGGGGGGGAAUAUUGCAGAAUGGGCGGAAGCCUGAUGCAGCAACGCCGCGUGCGGGAUGACGGCCUGCGGGUUGUAAACCGCUUUCGCCUGUGACGAAGCGUGAGUGACGGUAAUGGGUAAAGAAGCACCGGCUAACUACGUG